Podarcis lilfordi (Lilford's wall lizard) is the source of this 70-nucleotide non-coding RNA. The record is from the annotation of a GenBank genome assembly. NCBI's taxonomy places the organism in Eukaryota, Metazoa, Chordata, Lepidosauria, Squamata, Lacertidae.
GCUAAUGUGCAGCUGGUAGAGUAUGAGACUCUUAAUCUCAGGGUUAUGGGUUCGAACCUCACGUUGUGCA